ACGGCGCACGGGUGCGUAACACGUGGGUAAUCUGCCCUUCGAAGGGGAAUAACUCGCCGAAAGGCGAGCUAAUUCCGCAUAACAUUCCGAGAACCUUGGUUUUUGGAUUCAAAGGCGUAAGUCGUCGGAGGAGGAGCCCGCGCACGAUUAGCUAGUUGGUAGGGUAACGGCCUACCAAGGCUAUGAUCGUUAGCUGGUCUGAGAGGAUGGCCAGCCACACUGGAACUGAGACACGGUCCAGACUCCUACGGGAGGCAGCAGUGGGGAAUCUUGCACAAUGGGCGAAAGCCUGAUGCAGCGACGCCGCGUGGGGGAUGAAGCUUCUCGGAGUGUAAACCCCUUUCGACCCGGACGAAUGCCCCGCAAGGGGACUGACGGUACGGGUAUAAGAAGCCCCGGCUAACUACGUGCCAGCAGCCGCGGUAAGACGUAGGGGGCCAGCGUUGCUCGGAAUUACUGGGUGUAAAGGGUUCGUAGGCGGUGUGGCAAGUCGGGAGUGAAAUCUCUGGGCUCAACCCAGAGUCUGCUUCCGA
Molecule: ribosomal RNA, 533 nt
Filed under: uncultured bacterium
Lineage: Bacteria
Description: bacterial SSU rRNA
Rfam family: Bacterial small subunit ribosomal RNA
Source: RNAcentral